AAAUACACAAAAAGGACUGGGGAAAACGUCGUAAAACAAAAUCUCAUGUGUAUAACCCACAUACAGACCAAGAGAAUAAAAGCAGUUUGGCAAAUAAGGCAGUGGAUAGCCAGGCAUCUGAUAAUGGAGAAGACUUCAAAACUCCUGUACAGAGACGUAGACGACAGUUAUACAGCUCAGCUGUUGAAGAACCAUACGAGUGCUCUCCAAAUCUGAUUGAACUUCCUCCAGUUCAAGAUAGCCCACAUACCGUUGUCAGGCGACAACUGAGGAGCA
This is a long non-coding RNA of Penaeus monodon (black tiger shrimp), 276 nucleotides long. RefSeq lists it as uncharacterized. The record is from RefSeq and is a predicted model, not a curated record. Lineage: Eukaryota; Metazoa; Arthropoda; Malacostraca; Decapoda; Penaeidae. The transcript has 3 exons.